RNAcentral lists this ribosomal RNA (495 nucleotides) under uncultured bacterium. RNAcentral describes it as "bacterial SSU rRNA". It matches the Rfam family "Bacterial small subunit ribosomal RNA", at positions 899 to 1397 of the family's 1533-position model. The record is from RNAcentral.
ACUCAAAGGAAUAGACGGGGGCCCGCACAAGCAGUGGAGUAUGUGGUUUAAUUCGAAGCAACGCGAAGAACCUUACCAGGGCUUGACAUACUGAGGAAUGCUGUCGAGAGGCAGCAGCCCUUCGGGGCCUCAGAACAGGUGGUGCAUGGUUGUCGUCAGCUCGUGUCGUGAGAUGUUGGGUUAAGUCCCGCAACGAGCGCAACCCUUGCAGUCAGUUGGCAUCAUUAAGUUGGCCACUCUGAGUGGACUGCCGGUGACAAAUCGGAGGAAGGUGGGGACGACGUCAAAUCAUCAUGCCCCUUAUGUCCUGGGCUACACACGUACUACAAUGGCUGCUACAGAGGGAAGCGAAGCCGCGAGGCAGAGCGGAUCCUAAAAAGCAGUCUCAGUUCAGAUUGCGGGCUGCAACCCGCCCGCAUGAAGCAGGAAUUGCUAGUAAUGGCAGGUCAGCAUACUGCCGUGAAUACGUUCCCGGGCCUUGUACACACCGCCCGU